GACACUUUGGCCGAGUGGUUAAGGCGAUGCCCUGCUAUUAAGCGAUUAAUAUCACAGGCAUUGUGUUCGCACGCGCAGGUUCGAAUCCUGCAGGUGUCG
Molecule: transfer RNA, 99 nt
Filed under: Escovopsis weberi
Lineage: Eukaryota; Fungi; Ascomycota; Sordariomycetes; Hypocreales; Hypocreaceae
Rfam family: tRNA
About the family: Transfer RNA (tRNA) molecules are approximately 80 nucleotides in length. Their secondary structure includes four short double-helical elements and three loops (D, anti-codon, and T loops). Further hydrogen bonds mediate the characteristic L-shaped molecular structure. tRNAs have two regions of fundamental functional importance: the anti-codon, which is responsible for specific mRNA codon recognition, and the 3' end, to which the tRNAs corresponding amino acid is attached (by aminoacyl-tRNA synthetases). tRNAs cope with the degeneracy of the genetic code in two manners: having more than one tRNA (with a specific anti-codon) for a particular amino acid; and 'wobble' base-pairing, i.e. permitting non-standard base-pairing at the 3rd anti-codon position.
Source: Rfam by way of RNAcentral